Molecule: long non-coding RNA, 780 nt
Organism: Daphnia magna
Lineage: Eukaryota; Metazoa; Arthropoda; Branchiopoda; Diplostraca; Daphniidae
Exons: 2
Source: RefSeq, a predicted model, not a curated record
GGCAUGAACUUGAAUGAUUUGCUUAAGUGAUUUAUCGAGGCUGUAAUUACCAAAAGAGCUUCUCCUUUUUGAACUGAAUGUGAUGAUGUUUAGGUAAAGAAAACGCCCAUGAAAGACGAGAUGAAAGAUCGAUUCAAUUCCCAGGUUUUGGCUGUAGGAGUGUUGGCAGACGUGUGGCAGUAGAACCAAACGAGUCGAUCUAAUUAAACAGUUGACUAGGAAACUUUUCUCGGAUCUUUUUGAGGACUUAAUGAAACAUUUUCAAUAAAGAAACUGUUGGCAAUGAUGACGCACACACACUGUUCGCGUGUGUGUAUCUGGUGUCAGUGGUUGGAUGAUGGAUGGGUAAAAGAGAAAGAAAACCAAAAGGAAGUAGGAGUUGUAGUCAACAAAUGUAGGAGCAGAAAAAGAAAUGUUGAAUCUGGCGAUAAAAUGAAAACCCUUUUUUCUUAUAUUGUGAUUAGACGUUGUUGUUCUUCUCAUUUUCCUUGUAUUACGUGCACGUUGUACUUUAUGUUUGCAUGAUGAAUAAGCCAACACCGGUGCGUUCGACACCCCCAGCACAUCCACAAUAAAGAAAAAGAGAAACAGGGAGUCCAUCUGCUGGUGCGACAUUGACGCAUCACCCAGUCGAACGAGAGACACGCUGGUUCACUUCGUUUUUCGUCUGGCCAGAAAAUGGAGACUCAAAGAAUAAACAAUAAAAGCAAAUAAAGGGAUUUUUAAAAUCAGAAGAGGAGGAUGUUGCAAAUCAAGAUUCGACACAGUUGUUCAUCUCGG